AUGAGCCUCAUUCUGAGCAUAUCGCAUCAACGCCUCAAUCUGCCUUUGGGUAGGCAGCUCACUCGUGGGCUCGCUCAGUGUCAUGUGGUGCAUUUGAUGUGUCAGGGAGUUCCUCCGCCACGCGUACCAGCCUCUCCGGGAUCCAGCGCGGCGCUUCGGCAUCCUGUGGAAAAACACAAACAUGCCCGCGUCCCCAUAUUAAUACAGGGUCUGGCCCAUACCACAGAUUGGAGAGACUCCAGGUGCAAGGAGCACCAGCAGCCAGGAGAACAUGUUGGCAAGUGGACAUGUGUACUAGAUGACAACAUGGGGACAAGGACAUGGAUAGAAAGAAAGGAGAGUGGAAAGAAUACUGGGAAAGCAUUUGAGGCCCGGCAACUAGUCAUGACGCCAACAGACUGUGACAGGGAGAAUGUUACCAACCACUUCGACUGUAAUUUAUCUGGGUAGUUUGCUCCUUUACUGAAGAAGGGGGAAUAGGUAAGCUCUAAUGUCACUGACAGCUUUAAAAACUCUAAACUAUCAUGAGUUUACACUUUAGUCUCACCCCUAGACCAGAAAUUUCUUCCCUUAAAACUAUCUCACUUAAGACUUUACAGACUCCCUCAAGAAAACUGUCCCUACUGUAUUCUCUAUCCUCAGAAGUUAAAGGAUUUAACAAUUCACCAUUAAGUGCUUACCAUUCUGAACUUCAAGAUUCUUGGAAAAGGAAUGUCAUACUACAU
This 725-nucleotide long non-coding RNA is filed under the name Capra hircus (goat). Its description in RNAcentral is "lncRNA (ENSCHIG00000005470.1)". The record is from RNAcentral. Lineage: Eukaryota; Metazoa; Chordata; Mammalia; Artiodactyla; Bovidae.